GUCGAACGAGGAUUUAACGGAAUGCGAUUCGUCAAAUGAAAUUAAAUCCGACUGUCGGACGGGUGAGUAACGCGUGGAUAACCUGCCUCACACAGGGGGACAACAGCCGGAAACGGCUGCUAAUACCGCAUAACAUGAGCAGCUCGCAUGGGCAGCUCACCAAAGAUUUUAUCGGUGUGAGAUGGAUCCGCGUCUGAUUAGCCAGUUGGCGGGGUAACGGCCCACCAAAGCGACGAUCAGUAGCCGACCUGAGAGGGUGACCGGCCACAUUGGGACUGAGACACGGCCCAAACUCCUACGGGAGGCAGCAGUGGGGAAUAUUGCACAAUGGGCGCAAGCCUGAUGCAGCGACGCCGCGUGAAGGAUGAAGUAUUUCGGUAUGUAAACUUCUAUCAGCAGGGAAGAAAAUGACGGUACCUGACUAAGAAGCCCCGGCUAACUACGUGCCAGCAGCCGCGGUAAUACGUAGGGGGCAAGCGUUAUCCGGAUUUACUGGGUGUAAAGGGAGCGUAGAUGGCAUGGCAAGUCUGAAGUGAAAGCCCGGGGCUUAACCCCGGGACUGCUUUGGAAACUGUUAAGCUAGAGUGCAGGAGAGGUAAGCGGAAUUCCUAGUGUAGCGGUGAAAUGCGUAGAUAUUAGGAGGAACACCGGUGGCGAAGGCGGCUUACUGGACUGUAACUGACAUUGAGGCUCGAAAGCGUGGGGAGCAAACAGGAUUAGAUACCCUGGUAGUCCACGCCGUANACGAUGAAUACUAGGUGUUGGGGAGCNUAAGCUCUUCGGUGCCGGCGCAAACGCAUUAAGUAUUCCACCUGGGGAGUACGUU
Molecule: ribosomal RNA, 826 nt
Filed under: uncultured bacterium
Lineage: Bacteria
Description: bacterial SSU rRNA
Rfam family: Bacterial small subunit ribosomal RNA
Source: RNAcentral